Paramormyrops kingsleyae is the source of this 171-nucleotide non-coding RNA. NCBI's taxonomy places the organism in Eukaryota, Metazoa, Chordata, Actinopteri, Osteoglossiformes, Mormyridae. The record is from RefSeq and is a predicted model, not a curated record.
GGUAGGCAUCACAAUCACAAUGGCAGAUCAAUAUGAAGAUGCCCCUGCAUCUGAGACCCAAGCGCUCAUCUCAACCAAAGAGGCCAAAACUGGAGAUGAAGAUGCCCCCGCAUCUGAGACCCAAGCGCCCCCCCUCAACCAAAGAGGCUAAAAUUAUUGAAAGCAUCGGAC